UACGGAGGGCGCAAGCGUUACUCGGAAUUACUGGGCGUAAAGCGUGCGCAGGCGGUUUGUUAAGUCCGCUGUGAAAUCCCCGAGCUCAACUUGGGAAUUGCAGUGGAUACUGGCAAGCUGGAGUAUGGUAGAGGAAGGUGGAAUUCCCGGUGUAGCAGUGAAAUGCGUAGAGAUCGGGAGGAACACCAGUGGCGAAGGCGGCCUUCUGGACCAAUACUGACGCUCAUGCACGAAAGCGUGGGGAGCAAACAGG
RNAcentral lists this ribosomal RNA (253 nucleotides) under uncultured bacterium. RNAcentral's name for it is "partial 16S ribosomal RNA". It matches the Rfam family "Bacterial small subunit ribosomal RNA", at positions 524 to 776 of the family's 1533-position model. The record is from RNAcentral.